Long non-coding RNA from Ananas comosus (pineapple), 315 nucleotides. RefSeq lists it as uncharacterized. The transcript is spliced from 3 exons. Lineage: Eukaryota; Viridiplantae; Streptophyta; Magnoliopsida; Poales; Bromeliaceae. The record is from RefSeq and is a predicted model, not a curated record.
CUCUUUGCUUGAUGUUUACUGGCAGAGAGUGUUUUGGAGUUGUUGUGGGAAAAGAAGGAGGAGUAUUAAGGGGUAUUUCGUGACCUUACACACUCUUAUAGCUGGUUGAGGUUUUGGAAAGCUGAAUUGGGAGAAGCCACAAGACAGCUAGAGAAGGGGUUUAACUUCUGGAAUUUUCUACUAUAAUUUCCUAGAAAGCUGAAUCGAACUUGGAGAAGCUGUAGGUUAUCCACUUAGAGCUGAUUUGAAGGGUGGUUAUGAGCUGAAUUAAGGUGUGUAACCAGAGUCGAGGUGGAGGAUUAACACUGCGCUAAA